UAAACGCUGGCGGCGUGCUUAACACAUGCAAGUUCGAACGAUGAACGCCGGUGCUUGCACCGGUGAUUAGUGGCGAACGGGUGAGUAACACGUGAGUAACCUGCCCUUAACUCUGGGAUAAGCCUGGGAAACUGGGUCUAAUACCGGAUAUGACUCCUCAUCGCAUGGUGGGGGGUGGAAAGCUUUUUGUGGUUUUGGAUGGACUCGCGGCCUAUCAGCUUGUUGGUGAGGUAAUGGCUCACCAAGGCGACGACGGGUAGCCGGCCUGAGAGGGUGACCGGCCACACUGGGACUGAGACACGGCCCAGACUCCUACGGGAGGCAGCAGUGGGGAAUAUUGCACAAUGGGCGAAAGCCUGAUGCAGCGACGCCGCGUGAGGGAUGACGGCCUUCGGGUUGUAAACCUCUUUCAGUAGGGAAGAAGCGAAAGUGACGGUACCUGCAGAAGAAGCGCCGGCUAACUACGUGCCAGCAGCGCGGGUAAUA
This 486-nucleotide ribosomal RNA is filed under the name Arthrobacter sp. K05. RNAcentral's name for it is "bacterial SSU rRNA". It matches the Rfam family "Bacterial small subunit ribosomal RNA", at positions 30 to 525 of the family's 1533-position model. The record is from RNAcentral. Lineage: Bacteria; Bacillati; Actinomycetota; Actinomycetes; Micrococcales; Micrococcaceae.